Molecule: ribosomal RNA, 120 nt
Filed under: Helianthus annuus (common sunflower)
Lineage: Eukaryota; Viridiplantae; Streptophyta; Magnoliopsida; Asterales; Asteraceae
Source: RNAcentral
GGUUGCGAUCAUACCAGCACUAAUGCACCGGAUCCCAUCAGAACUCCGUAGUUAAGCGUGCUUGGGCGAGAGUAGUACUAGGAUGGGUGACCCCUUGGGAAGUCCUCGUGUUGCAACCCC